Molecule: long non-coding RNA, 554 nt
Filed under: Fukomys damarensis (Damara mole-rat)
Lineage: Eukaryota; Metazoa; Chordata; Mammalia; Rodentia; Bathyergidae
Description: lncRNA (ENSFDAG00000026831.1)
Source: RNAcentral
GGAGAACCGAGGCAGGGAAGCUGGUUCCUGGGCACCUGCAGGAGUUGUACUGAGAGCAGAACGGGGUGGCACUGGUGCUUAGUCUGUGAAAAAGGCUGUGUGUCCUGCCCUCCGUUGGGAGUGGCUGCCAUGGAGGCACUGCAGAAUGCACUCGCAGUUGUAGCUUCGGCAAGUGUGGAAGGUGAGGCGAAGCCCCUGGUAGGGCAGGACAGCUGGCCUGCACUCCUGUCUGACCAUUCCCCAACCCUUGCGAUCUUCGGAGCAGAGCUGAUGCGAUCAUGGGUAAGGCAACCCUUUUAUUCCACUCUCAGGGAUCACUUCCUCCUCAACAUGGGGGCCAAGUUUAACUCACACUCAUCUCUACUUUGUGAGGGAAAAGGAAUGGCCCAGUCAACAAAGCAGGGAGCAAAGCCAGGAAUCUCUUCACUGGUGUUUUUCAUCAGCCAUAACUGUCUGCCAGGGAUAAUGCUGCAGUUAAGCAUCCAAGAAGUUCCUUGAAGAAAGGCACCUGCUUUCCUAGCCUUUACAGCUCCCUAAAUGUUCCACAUUCUUAG